This is a long non-coding RNA of Penaeus indicus, 395 nucleotides long. RefSeq lists it as uncharacterized. Lineage: Eukaryota; Metazoa; Arthropoda; Malacostraca; Decapoda; Penaeidae. The transcript is spliced from 4 exons. The record is from RefSeq and is a predicted model, not a curated record.
UUAGACGUGGUUGCUCUUGUGCCCGGAUUGCUGGGAGAGCAACUGGAGCCGUUUUCUCAGGCGACGCAUCUCAACCUCUCCAUUUUGCAUCGCAGAGAGGAAAGGGAUGGCGCUUCGCUCGCUUCUUUUCUUCUCCAAAACAUUCCUUUCGCGCCAAAAAUCGCCAUCUUGGUUGACGACGCUCAUGAAGAAGUCGCCUUGCAACUACAGCGGGCCCUUCACAAAGCAGGCAUAUCUGUUACUACUUUCACCUUCAGUCCCCUCCUGACGGGGCUCACGGAAGAACUGACGUCAACGACCAGCAUCGGCAGGAGGCAUUACGUCAUUACCUUGUGCGCAAAAGAAAGUAUUAUUAGGGUCUUCGAACAGGCACAACAGAGGGCGCUGCAAAGUGU